CGAUUCCACUGGAAGUGCCAUUGCGAAUGGCUGAGAUUGAAAUGCGAUUUCAAAAUUCCUGAACCUGAUCCAGUUCGUACUGGCGUAGGAAAGUGGCUGAAUUCGUGG
This 108-nucleotide non-coding RNA is filed under the name Staphylococcus sp. Its description in RNAcentral is "TPP sequence". It matches the Rfam family "TPP riboswitch aptamer (THI element)". From Rfam's summary of the family: Vitamin B(1) in its active form thiamin pyrophosphate (TPP) is an essential coenzyme that is synthesised by coupling of pyrimidine and thiazole moieties in bacteria. The previously detected thiamin-regulatory element, thi box was extended, resulting in a new, highly conserved RNA secondary structure, the THI element, which is widely distributed in eubacteria and also occurs in some archaea. RNAcentral also lists the same sequence under 1 other name. Lineage: Bacteria; Bacillati; Bacillota; Bacilli; Caryophanales; Staphylococcaceae. The record is from RNAcentral.